Molecule: long non-coding RNA, 6740 nt
Organism: Orcinus orca (killer whale)
Lineage: Eukaryota; Metazoa; Chordata; Mammalia; Artiodactyla; Delphinidae
Exons: 2
Source: RefSeq, a predicted model, not a curated record
UCAUGUGAUUAUUUACAUAAUCAUAGUGUUGGUGAAACAGACUAAUCUGUAUCUUGUAUUUCAUUUCUUAGCACUUAUAGAAUUCAUAUUGUUUACUAAUCGUAAUUAUCGUAAGCCUUGAGCGUCAGUAAUAGAUAAAACACUUGUUGUCCCCCUUCCUCACACUCUUUAAAAGGGACAAGCGUAUAUAAUGUAAAGUUCAUUUUGCAAACGUCUCUUCUGACCAUCCGCAUUCAACACUUAUAUUUCUCCUGCUGUGUGGGGUGGGAUAUGUGGUAAGUAUAAUGCCCCCUCUUAAUUAAGUAUAGUAGGGAAUUAGAAAAAUAACAAAUUAGAAACACCCAGCUUAAGUCUAAUAAUUUUUGACAUUUUUAUUUACAGGUUUAUACUAUCCUAAUAAAUGUGCCAAAAUAUACACACUGCCUUUGAAGUUUGUAAAGAGGAGUACACUUUUGGUAUAAAAUUUGGCUAUUUAAAAAAAUAAAUGGAGUAUUAUAUGAGAGUAUCUGUUUCUCUUUAGAUAUACAUCUGUGGAGAUUUAAAAGCACCUUCAUUUUCAUUUUUAAGGCCUAGUGAGACUACUUUCCUCUUUGAAAUUGGGAUAUGCAUAAAUUUAGUACCAGUAAUAAAAAUAGGAAUCUUAGAAAGUUGUAUAAAUGCAAAAGAUGUUCUCCACAAAUAUGUUACUCUUUAUAGUUUCAAAAUUUCAGUUUCUUGUCUUUUUCUGCCUAAGUCUAAUAUUUGUUACUGAUUGUUGAAUAAGAUGCUUAGGUUUUGGUGGAUUUGAGUUUAAUUAAGGGAAGAUGAUGUUAACAUAUACAAACCACAUUUGGUUCUUUUUCCAUUUAAAGAACCUCAUGGGGAAUUUUUUUGUGGAAAAGUUAUAAUUCUUAAGUAAAAACUCUGAGUGAGGUUUUUGUUUCUUGGUUACUUUGAUAUUGCUAACACUAUAAUUUACAGAAAACCGAAGCCUGAAUUUUCUCCAUGUGGUGAUUAAAACAUGUAAGAUAUUUGUGCUUGGGUUUCCAUUCUCUGCCUGAAUGAAUAAACAGCUGCCCUCAGCAGCAGCUUGUGGAUUCUUGGAACAGUGUCCAGACAGACAGCUUGGAUCAGGGAUUAGAAUCCCAGACCCUUCAUUCAAACGCAUUUGAAGCAAGGGCUUCAGUGUGGCAUGUAUGGGAUGCGGGAUCAUACCAGUGAAUGGAGGCUAUUGACUUAUCUUUUUAUUGAAUGUUUCUUGAUCUGUGAGCUACCAGGGGACAUGCAGUUUUUUUGAUUUCUAAUUGUAUCAUUCAUGAAAACUUAAAUUUUCCUCAAUGUUUUAUUAUAAUAUUCAAACAUACAGCAGAAUUAAAAGAACUUUACAUGAGUACCUGUAUACCCAUCACCUAGAUUCUGCCAUUAACCUUUUUUCUGCAGCUUUAUUGAGGUAUGAUCUUCAUACCAUAGUGUUCACCAAUUUUAAGUGUAUAUGGUUUUAGUAAAUUUGGCUGUUUAUCACCACAGUCCAAUUUUAGAAGACUUAAUCACCUGAAAAAGUUCCUUUGUCCCCCUCUCCAGUCAAUUCCCACUCCUACCCCUCUGCCUCAGCCUCAGGCAAGUAUUGCUUUCUCUUGCUAUAUUAUUUCAUUUUCUAGAAAUUCUUAUAAAUGGAAUUGUGUAAUACAUGUCUUUUGUAUCUAGCUUCCUCCAUGUAACAGGACGUUUUGAGAUUUUCUCAUGUGUUAUUUGUAUCAAUAGUUUGUUUUUUCUCUGUAAGUCCUUUUCUAAAAUCUUUUUGUUUUGAAAUAACUGUAGAUUUAUAGGAAGUUGCAAAGAUAGUAGAGAAGUCCAUGUACUCUUUACCCAGGUUCUUCCAAUGGUUACAUCUUGUAUAGGAAAAGAAGCAUCUUUUUAUAGUAUAUACUGUAAUUCUUUAAAAAAAUGGCUCCCUGAAAAAUUUUAGUAUUAUGGCAGCUUAGUCUUAGUUUAAAUUUUCUUGGAUUCUAAAGUAAUUUUGUUUUCCUUAACUGCCAUAGACAUUCUGGGCUUGGAGUUAUUUAAAAGUUUGGGGGUGUUUAGUUAUAGAUCAUUUCUGAAUGGCAAGUAUAAGUUUAUAUGUUAAUGGGUGACGAAAGAAAUUCUAAUUGAUCCUGAUCCCUGGGCUCCAUGAUAGGGCUAGCAUAAGAAUUCUAUAAUCUUGAUGAUUAAUUCCCAACUUUGCCUGAAAAACUGUCAAGGUUAGAGAGAUAUUAUUAAAUUUCUCAGAAUGUUUGACCGUAGAUAAUUUGAUAUUUCUGUAGAAAUCGAUGGGUAUGACUGUGCAGACUCAGUAAUUCUUGUAUGUUAUUGCAGGUGUUUAGAAGUUCACCACAGUACUGACUUUUGUUGAUUUUUAAAAAAAAAUAAACCAGUAUAACUUUUAUUUUUGGCUGAAUAAAAAGUAAAACCAAGUUGAAAAGUUCAGAGUCAGCAUUGUCCUGGUAAAUUCUUUCAAACCUCAGUAAUUCUAAAUGUGAGGUGUAGCUUAUUUUUUUCAUAAUUGGUUGCCUGGUGUGUAUUGAUGAAAUGAAAAACAUGAAAUUGGAAAUUAAGCUGAAUGCAAUAGAAAAAAUAUGUGCAUUAAAGUUACUCUGUUUAAUAUUUGCUUUUAAAAACCAGUGCUGAGAUGUUUUAAGUCCAAACAAAGAAGCAUACUCUGUAGAAUAACAUUUUUAUUUAUGGGCUGGAGGAACCAGAAUACUCAUUAUCUGAUCAUUUUGGAUUGGAAACAAUUUAGGUAUCCCAGGAGUCCAAGAUAUUGGGUCUCUCCCUCUGUCCUGAUAGUAUAUAUUUUGUGAUUAAUUGGUUUAUUGAAAAGUAAAUCAGUAGAAAGAAGUAGACUGGGAAGGACUGGAACUUAGAAUACAGGUAUGAUUGUUAGAUUGGAGGCAAGGGACUGAAAAUCCACUUUAGUGCUAAGGGAAAAAAAAUCCCAGUCUGCCAGUGGAACACAUAGGAGGACAGGGACAGGUAGCUGUGGAGGAAUGUAUGAGCACCUGGUAGCUGGGAGGUGCAGCAAGAGGAAACAGGGAAUCUAAUUUAACUAUUGGGAAGGUAAGGAGCAUUAGCAGACUGUGAUUUUAUUGUACAGGAGGCUCAUUAUCCACAUUAUGACAGGAAAGUAUUCACUCAUGACGUGAUCCCUUAUCCAGAGAAGAGUAGUAGAAAUUCAGCAUAUAAUCUAUAAAAAAAACCCAAGAUGAAUUAUUAAAGUUAAAAUUAUUCAUAGCACUGUAGCUGACAAUAUCACAGUAAUCCUAGUGAUUAAUAAUAAAAAUGUAAAUAAAAACCUCAAAUGCCUGGAACAUAAAAACGUUUCUUUAAAUAACUUGAGUUAGAACCAUAUCAGAAUUGCCAUUUAAAAAGACUUAUUAGAAAAAAUAACUAUAAUGAACAAUAUGGGUAAAAAUUUAGAUAGUGUGGCCAGAGUGAUAGAAGUAGGUUCAUAGCAUUAAAUGCUUCAAAAAGAAAAUGAACUGAGUAUUGAACUCAAAAAGGUAGAAGAAGGAAACCCAAUGAAGCAGAAGGAGGCAAAUAAUAGAGAAAAAUGGAUGAGUGAACAGCAAAAUAGAAAGCUUCAGGACCUUAACAGCCUUAGCUGUUCUUCUGGAACCUUCCUAGGAUUUUAUCUGUAUUACUGCAAAGCAAAAAAGGUGCCCUUAGAAUCCUUCUCAACAUAAUGUUUCACUGUGACAACCAGUAGGUAAGGAUUGACUCUAUAUGAAACAUAUUUGCUAUCCCUAUUCUAGAAGUUCUAUCCAGUUUAGUAAGAAAAAUUAAAACAGCAGGAAAGGAGGAAACAAAUUCUUAUUUGCAAUUGAUAUGAUUGACUACCUGUAGAACUUAAGAAAAUCAAGUCAGAAACUUCUUAGAAUGGAUAAAAAUUCAUGUAAGGUGCUUUAUAGAAAACAUAUAUAAAAUAGAAGACAGAGUAGUGAAAAUCACUGAUGCUGAACAGAAAAAAGAAAAGAAGAAUGAAAAGAAAUGAGGACAGUUUGAGAGACCUCUGCGAUAACAUCAAGUGUACUAAUAUUCACAGUAUAGGGGUUCUAGAAGGAGAAGAGAGAGAGAAAGGGGCAGAGAACAUAUCUGAAGACAUAAUAGCUGAAAACUUCCCUAACUUGGAAAAGAAAUAGACAUCCAAAUCCAGGAGGCCCAGAGAGUCCCAUACAGGACUUACCCAAAGAGGAAAGCACCAAGACACAUUGCAAUUAAAAUGACAAAAAUUAAAGAGAAAGAGAGACUGUUAAAAGCAUCAAGGGAAAAGCAAGAGAUAACAUACAAGGGAACUCCCAUAAGGCUGUCAGCUGACCUUUAGCAGAAACCCUGCAGGCCAGAAGGGAGUGGCAUGUUUUAUUUAAAGCAAUGAAAGGGAAAACCCUAUACCCAAGAAUACUCUAACCCAGGGGUCCCCAACGCCUGGGCUGUGGAAUGGUGCUGGGCUGUGGAACGGUGCCAGUCCAUGGCCUGUUAGGAACCGGCCACACAGCAGGAGGUGAGUGGCGGGCAAGUGAGCGAAGAUUCAUCUGCUGUUCCCAUUGCUCCCCAUCACUCACAUUACUGCCUGAACCAUCCCCCCCAUCACUUGCAUUACCUCCUGAACCCUCCCACAUCCCCCACCCCCGACCGUGGAAAAACUGUCUUCCAUGAAACCGGUCCCUGGUGCCAAAAAGGUUGGGGACCGCUGCUCUAACCAACAAGGCUCUUGUUCAGAUUUGUGGGAGAGAUCAAAAGCUUUACAGAGAAGCAAAGGCUAAAAGAGUUCAGCACCACCAAACCAGCUCUACAAGAAAUGUUCAGGAAAUUCCUCUAAGCGAAAAAGAAAUGGCUGCAACUAGAAACAUGAAAAUGAUGAAAUGAAAAAGCUCAUCAAUAAAGGCAAACAUACAGUAAAAGUAGGAAGUCAUCCACCCACAAAGCUAGUAGAAUGGUUAAAGACAAAGCAGUAAAAUCAUAUAUGUCCACAAUAAGCAGUUAAGGGAUGCACAAUACAGUUAAAUGUAAAAUAUAUCAAAAACAGUAAUCAUGAGAGGAGGAGAGUACAAAUGCAUGCAUUUGAAAUUAAGAGACCAGCAACUUAAAACAAUCACACACACACAUAUAUAUACAUAUUGCUAUAUAAAAACUUCACGGUAACCACAAACCAAAAAUCUAUAAUAGAUAUAAACCAAAAAAGGCAAAAGGAAUCCAAACAACACUAAAGAUAGUCGUCAGAUCACAAGAGAACAAAACAAGAAAAAAGGAAAAAAAAAAAAAGACCUACAAAACAACCCCCAAACAAGUAACAAAAUGGCAAUAGCAUACAUAUCAUUAAUUACCUUAGAUGUAAAUGGACUCAGUGCUCUAAUCAAAAGAGAGAGUGGCUGAAUGGAUACAAAAGCAAGACCCAUAUAUAUGCUGCCUAUAAGAGACUCACUUCAGAUCUAAAGACACACACAGACUGAAAAUGAGGGAAUGAGAAAAGGAAUUCCAUGCAAAUGGAAAUCAAAAGAAAGCUGGGGUAACAAUACUUAUAUCAGACAAGAUAGAUUUUAAAGACUGUUACAAGAGACAAAGGAGGACACUACAUAAUGAUCAAGGGAUUAGUCCAAGAAGAAGAUUAAACGAUUGUAAAUAUAUAUGUACCCAGCAUUGGAGCACCUAAAUACAUAAAGCAAAUACUAACCGACAUAAAGGGAGAAAUCAACAGUAACACAAUAGUAGUAGGGGACUUUAACACCCCACUUACGUCAGUGGACCAGUCAUCCAGACAGAAAAUCAACAAGGAAACACUGGCCUUAAAUGACACAUUACACCAGAGGGACAUAAUUGAUAUGUGUAGAGCAUUCCAUCCCAAAGCAGCAGAGUACACGUUCUUUUUAUGUGCACAUGGUACAUUCUCCAGGAUAGAUCACAUGCUAGGCCACAAAACAAGACUUGGUAAAUUUAGGAAAAUUAAAAUCAUAUCAAGGGACCUCCCUGGUGACGCAGUGGUUAAGGAUCUCCCUGCCAAUGCAGGGGACACGGGUUGGAUCCCUGCUCCAGGAAGAUUCCACAUGCUGUGGAGCAACUAAGUUCGUGUGCCACAACUACUGAGCCUAUGCUCUAGAGCAUGCAAGCCACACCUACUGAGCCCACGUGCCUAGAGUCCGUGCUCUACAACAAGAGAAGCCACCACAAUGAGAAGCCUGUGCACCGCAGCGAAGAGUAGACCCCGCAACUAGAGAAAGCCUGCACGCAGCAGCAAAGACCCAACGCAACCAAAAAUAAAUUUAAAAAGAAAUUAAAAUCAUAUCAAGCAUCUUUUCUGACCACGAUGCUAUGAGACUAGAAGUCAACUACAAGGAAAAAACUGCAGAAAACACAAAUGAGGAGGCUAAACAACAUGGUACUAAACAACCAGUGGAUCACUGAAGAAAUCAAAGAGGAAAUGAAAAAAUACCUAGAGAAAAAUGCAAACAAAAACAUGAUGAUCCAAAACCUUUGGGACGCAGCAAAAGCAGUUCUAAGUGGGAAGUUUAUGGUGAUACCUCAGGUAUAAGGUAUUCCUCAGAAUACCUCAGGAAAUAAGAAAAAAUCUCAUAUAAAUAACCUAACCUUACACCUAAACAAACUGGAGAAAGAAAAAGCCCAAAGUUAGUAGAAGGAAAGAAAGCAUAAAGAUCAGAGAAGAAAUAAAAUAGAGACUAAAAAAAUAAUAGAAGAGAUCAAUGAAACUAAAAACUGGUUCUUUGAAAAGA